Strigops habroptila (Kakapo) is the source of this 2356-nucleotide long non-coding RNA. NCBI's taxonomy places the organism in Eukaryota, Metazoa, Chordata, Aves, Psittaciformes, Psittacidae. The record is from Ensembl.
GCUGAUCUUAGUGAAUACCAAUAUUGAAUCGUGCUGCUAUCAGCAAGAUUAUUAAAAUGUCUUUCACAUUUUAAAUCAUUCUUUCAUUGGAAUAUAAGGAAUUGGAUUUGUGAAUCAUUAUAUUGCAUAGAGAUAGCACACAUUCACCGCAUUUUUAAAAGGUAUUAAAUAUACAGUAUGUAGCAUUUUCUUGCAUACUUUUAUACUGCCUGUAUGCCACCGAUGCACUCGGUGCCUUCUUUCUUUUGUAUAAAACUAAUAUGUAGAGAAACUACAGCUCUAGUGUGUAAGCAGUCACUGCAACUGAAGAGAUGUCUUAACCUGAUUAUUCCUAGUAGAGGAGGUUUCAAGUGGCAGUUCAGUCCAACGCAAUUUGAAUUCAGAGUUUUCCCCUUCCCUUCCUCACCCCCCUUUCCAAGAAACCUCCUUAUACGACUGUUUAUUCUUGAUUGAUUCCUGUGUCUGAUGUAGUGUCACGUGGUGUUAACCAAAGAUCCAAGUCUGUUUCUAAUUCUUUGGACAAGUAAUGUUUGGACUUGCUAUUACUUAAAGACAGAAAUGAUAUAAUGGAUCUCUUCGAACAAAUAUAAAAUAGGCUUCUGUAAAUGUGACUCACAGCUGAGAAUUCAAGAUACCUCUUUUCUGACUGGUUGUGUGUUAUUGUAUCACUAGCAAAGUGUUUCAGUUGUAUUUCUUUGUGCACUUUAAUCAAAAGCCCAUCACAAAGCAAAAGCAAAAAUAUAAGUCAGUCAGUGCUGUCAAAUUAGCUUAUUCUACCCAUUUUAUAACUCUAUCUGAAGUGUGCAACACUUGAGAACAGAUUUGGCUUUUCUGUGUCUGGAGUCCUGAUGAUAUAUAAUAACUGUCUAAUGUAUGCUGGUCUUAGAGAAACAGACUCAUGCUGCAUUGUGUGUACAUUUCUUACCAGAGUCUCUUCGUUGUAGAAUUUAUGUGAUAGAACACAGUUUUCAACUACUGUUUCAAUUUGAAAUUCCUUAAAUUUCAAUGCAUGUAUAGCCUUAAACAUUUAAGACACCAAGCACAGUUUUAAUGGGAAUAGGUUAUAUUUGCAAGUCCUGUUUGGCACGGAAGCAAGAGAAUUAUUUUUCUAUCUCAGUCAAAGAUUAUAAACCAUGGGUAUCUUGCAGCAAUGUCGUCAACCAUGCUCCUAAUUAUCUGCAUUUAGGAAGAAGCAUUUUUGCUGAAGUUUUUUGAGGUGAAAUACCAGUGCUUAUUUCCUUUCUUGAAUUUGCUUAUUUUGUUUCCGUACUUUCAUUGCUGUACAGAACCUUGGAGCCCUUGACUAAUGCCCACGUUUGAAUUCACCCCCAUUUUCAGAAUUCCUUGAGCUGCUUUUCUGCUCCAGUUUUAAGUUGAAGAAGCAGUAAUUAAGUCUCAAAUAUUUCUUUUUUUCCAUUUUGACAGUAAUAUAAUUAGAGCAAAUGACCGUUUGCAACUGUUUAUGCAGCUUAUUAAAGUUUAAGGACUUUGUUGGGAACUGUCGUCGUAACCCAGAUGAAGACGUAUGGUUUAUGGCAUUUUGGUCCACAAGCAGGUGAAAACGGGAGUUCUGGCAAUGAAUCUGCAUAUUGGGUGUCAGAUUGUAAAUCGCCAGUGGGGUUUAUAAUGAAGUGUCGCAGUGUAUCUACAGUAUUUCCAGUUAUGUGUUGUCAGAUGCUUGUUGGUUUGUUUUCUUUAUUAUUCCCUAGCAAAAACCUGCUUUUAUCAUUUUUGUGCUCCUGUAUAUUAAUCUUAAGGGUUUCCUGUGUGCAAGUUCAGUUUCAUGUUGUCAUUUCUCUCAUAUGGACUUUCAGCAUAUGCAUCCCAUUACUAUUUUGGGGAGAGGCAGAAUGCCACCAGCUGGUUUUAGUCACACGUACCUGUACAGCACAGGUAACCUUAACCCCAUGUUAGUUUGAUGAAAACAUGCUCUAGUAUAUUUUCAAACUAUGGAUCUGUCACAACAUUAAAAUAGUCAUUUUGUGUAUCUGAAGCUUUGCAGCUGUGGAUUUGUAUUUUGUUUGCUUCCUCUAUUUGUAUUGAUGACUGUGAAGUGUAUUUUUGUCAGUUUGAGGACUGGAAUGGGUAUCCUUCAGUUAUUUCAGAGUAUUUUCUGUACGUGGAAUCAGCUUUUUGCAUGUGAACUUAAUUGCUGGAAAUUAUUUGGGAAAAAAAAAAAGGAGAAAUCACUUUUAAAACCAGUUGUUGUCACUUUCCUUUGGAAUUCAUUAGAUCAUAACCAAGUGGAAUAGGCUUCACUGGAAGAUGGUAGUGCUUGUUCAACCAUUUGAACUGCUGUCUGCAUUAAAGAGAAGAAAACCUGAUUUAAUUCUGGCCACCUAAUCCUGGCCCUUAC